AUUGAACGCUGGCGGCAUGCUUUACACAUGCAAGUCGAACGGUAGAGGGGGCAACCCCUUGAGAGUGGCGAACGGGUGAGUAAUGCAUCGGAACGUGCCCAGUCGUGGGGGAUAACGCAGCGAAAGCUGUGCUAAUACCGCAUACGAUCUCUGGAUGAAAGCGGGGGACCGAAAGGCCUCGCGCCAUUGGAGCGGUCGAUGGUAGAUUAGGUAGUUGGUGGGGUAAAGGCCUACCAAGCCAACGAUCUGUAGCUGGUCUGAGAGGACGACACGCCACACUGGGACUGAGGCACGGCCCAGACUCCUACGGGAGGCAGCAGUGGGUAAUUUUGGACAAUGGGCGCAAGCCUGAUCCAGCAAUGCCGCGUGCAGGAAGAAGGCCUUCGGGUUGUAAGCUGCUUUUGUACGGAACGAAACGGUCUGGGUUAAUACCCUGGGCUAAUGACGGUACCGUAAGAAUAAGCACCGGCUAACUACGUGCCAGCAGCCGCCGUAA
Molecule: ribosomal RNA, 496 nt
Filed under: uncultured bacterium
Lineage: Bacteria
Description: partial 16S ribosomal RNA
Rfam family: Bacterial small subunit ribosomal RNA
Source: RNAcentral